CUUCAGUUCAGUUUCAACUUUGCCACCGAUAAGAUGUUGAUCCUCCGACUUGUUUUCGGCAUUCUCGCCUUGGCCGUUGCCGCUCAAGCCCGUGGUUGUGACAACAAUGGCGAAUUCUGCCGAACCCGUACCGAGUGCUGCUCACUGUUUUGUGAUACCAAGGUCAACAAAUGCCGUGACAAUUAACUUCUAACAUAAUUUUACAGAAAUGUCAAACAUUAAAUGUUUAUUAAUAAAAUAAAAGCAAACAUUUAAAA
This is a long non-coding RNA of Drosophila eugracilis, 257 nucleotides long. RefSeq lists it as uncharacterized. The transcript has 2 exons. The record is from RefSeq and is a predicted model, not a curated record. NCBI's taxonomy places the organism in Eukaryota, Metazoa, Arthropoda, Insecta, Diptera, Drosophilidae.